GAAAUUUCAAAUUCCAGUUUGUGGACAAAGUCCUAAGUUUCUCACAAUAUAGGUCCCCAACCACUGACCAAACUCCAGUCCAGGCAGCCAGCAGGCCUGGGGCUGCUUCCUUUGGCAGCUCCCAAGGUCUGGAGGGGAAGAGAUCCUGUCCCAGGGGGCCCGCCAGGCCAUUCCUGCGGCUCCAUCCCACCCCACAGGGACCCCUGCCUCGCACCCGAGAGGAGCCCUCUGCCUGGAGCUGGGAUCUGAUGCUUGUUGGCACCGACAGCAGAUAUCAGGCACAUGGCAGGAUUACCCUUUCUCGCCUCCUUCGAAGUUGGAUGUGACCAUGGGACUGAUCUUGGCCAAUGAAGUGUGAACAGAAACCAUCGGUGUCACACCUGAGCGGAAGGGUUAGGAGCCAGUGCUGAGGUUGUUGUGGAAGCACAUACAGAUGUGGAGUCGGUAGGGAGAGAAGAACGCCCUGCCAGCCCAUGCCGGAGGAUGUGUGCCACACGUGAGCAGUAAGUGUCCUCUGUGUUAGCCACGGAGGCACGUGCUUGUUUUGGUCAUUGUGACAUAGCCUCACCUGUCUUUCCUGAACACGUUCUUCCCACAGCUUCACAGAUAUUCCUAUGACCAUUACGAUUUGUCAUAUCUGAAAGCCACUCAUGCCAUUAACACUCUCCUUCACAUCAACUCACUUAUUUUAACUUAGACCUAUUUUAGAAGGAAAUGUUAUUACUACCAAAUGAAACACCAGUAUUAUAAGUAGAAGCCAAAGGGAAAAUAAGCAGAGUGAAAUAAACUGCUAUAGUAUAUCCUGACUUAAUAUUGUUAUCUUUCAAAGCCUCUGUGUCCUUGAUCUGUUCUCUCUUUGUUAAAAAACAAAAACAACAAAAAAGGAGGUCCCUAAGUGUGUCAACCUUUUGGGCUCCAGAAAAGUGUCUGAGAUUGUCAGAUGUUUGGUGGCAACACGGCAUAGAGGUGAGAGCACAAAUUCUGGAACCUGACUUUCUAGGCUUGAAUUCUGGUUCUGCCAUAAACAAGCUGUGUGACCUUCGCCCCAGAAGACAAUCCAGGACCAACAAAUGGAUGCUACAAGGUUUGUACUCAAAAGGGAGAGAAUUUUUCUACCAGAAACAAUGGUUCUUACCAGGGGAAAAGCUGCUUUAUUAAGUAAUGAGCAUCCUGUCAUGGGAGUAUCAAGCCCAAGCUAAAUGUCAGGGAGGAGGGUGACAAAAUUCCAGCAAAGGACCAGAGGUUGAACCAAAGUAGUAUCUCCCAGGUGCAAAAGUCUUAAAUAAAAUAUAAUCAGAACCAAAUUCAUGGUUGGAAAAACUGGCUUAAGAAUGAAGUUGGACUCUUAGUUUAUACCAUAUACAAAAAUUAAUACAAAAUGGAAUAAAGACCUAAACAUAAGAGCUAAAACUAUAAAAUUUUUAGAAGAAAACAUAGGGGGAAAUAUUCAUGACAUUGGAUUUGGCAAUAAUUUCUUGGAUAUGACACCAAAAGUACAAUCAUUGAAAGAAAAAGAAAAAAAUAGAUACACUAAAGUACAUAUAAAUUUAAAACUUUUGUGCACCAAAGUAUAUUAUCAACAGAAUGAAAGGGCAACCAUGGAAUGGGAGAAAAUAUUUGCAAAUUAUAUAUGUGAUAAGGGGUUAAUAUCAAGAAUAUAUAAAAGUUCCUAUAACUCACAAACAACAAAAAAUAAAAAAACCAAUUUUCAAUUCAGCAAAGGGUUUGAACAGAGAUUUCUUCAAGGAAAAUAUACAAAUGACUAGGACGGACAUAAAAAGAUGCUCAAUGUCACUAAUCACUAAGAUAUACAAGUCAAAACCACAAUGAGAUACCACAUCACACUCAUUAAGAUGAAUAUAUUUUUUUUAAAAAAAAGAUAAAAACAAGUGUUGGCAAGGAUGUUGAGAAAUUGAAACUGAUUUGCACUGUGGUGAGAAAUGGAAAAUAGUCUGUCAGUUCCUUAAAAAAUAUAAUUCAUGUAUUUACUAUACACAUAACUAGUAUAUUCAAAAGAAUUGAAAGCAGGGUCUGAAAUACAUAUUUUUUACAUUUAUUUCAUAGCAACAUUAUUCAUAAGAGCCAAAAGUUAGAAGCAAGCCAAGUGUCAAAUGAUAGAUGUGAUAUAAAUAUACAAUGGAAUAUUAUUCAGCCUUAAAAAAGAAAGGAAGUUCUGAUAAUUGCUACAAUAUAGAUGAACCUUGAGAACUUUCUGCUAUAAUAAGUGAAAUAGACUAGUCACAAAAAAGUGAAU
This is a long non-coding RNA of Pipistrellus kuhlii (Kuhl's pipistrelle), 2254 nucleotides long. RefSeq lists it as uncharacterized. The transcript is spliced from 4 exons. The record is from RefSeq and is a predicted model, not a curated record. Lineage: Eukaryota; Metazoa; Chordata; Mammalia; Chiroptera; Vespertilionidae.